Molecule: long non-coding RNA, 833 nt
Filed under: Homo sapiens (human)
Lineage: Eukaryota; Metazoa; Chordata; Mammalia; Primates; Hominidae
Description: HSALNT0078563
Source: RNAcentral
CUCUUCUGCAAAGAGGUGGAGUCUCCCUCCCUUCCCUCUUGAAUUGGGCCUAUCAUGAGAGCAAAACACCAUCUUCUGCUGGAAAAGAGAAAAGGAUAGAAUAUUUCUGUGGUGAGAAAGAAGGUUAUUUGAUACCAAACCCAGACCACACCCACUAGAGCUGGAGUUCAGCUUACAGAAAUGGAUCUAAGAUCAAGUCAAAUCGGUAAAGACACUGGUCCACUAAGGGUCCAGCCUCCACCCAGUGACGUGGAGACUCCGCGAGGCACCCUGAGCUCCGGGAACCCCCUCCUCCCUUUCCUCUGCCCCGAGGUGGUGUCAGCUUCCUGUCUUUGCAGUCUGGAUUCCUCACCCCACCCUGGCUGGCCUCUCGGCUCCUCCAUCCCUUGUGUAAUUGAUCCCUGCCUCAAAGUCCUGUCUGGAAUUCCCUGGUGGUUUCUGUUUCCUGGUUAGAUCCCGACCGAUACACUGGCCUCCGGAGCUGGUCAGCUCUGAUUCCUAGAAGAGAGCUGCUAAGGACCGGCCUGGGGACGCCUUGCUGAAAGAGAGCCCUAAGCUGCCGUGUAAGGCAUCUGACUACGCUGAAGCCACUACAUUGGAAAGGUCACAUGGAGGAGCUCCAGCUGACAGUCUCGGAGGAGCUCAGCUUCAAGCCAUCCCUGCAAGGUAUCAGCCAUAUAAAUGAAUCAGCCCAGCUGCCAGUCAAGUAUCUUUGCAUGGCUUCCAUCAGUGCCUCAUGAAACGGAAGAUUGACUAGCCAAGACUUGCCCAAAUUCCUGACCCACAAAAUCAUGAGAUAUAAUAAAAUGGUUGUUAUUUUAAGCCACUAAGCA